AAAUACUUGGACAUACAUUUAUACUCAACCAUGUAAAUAUGAGAAGUUCGUUAUGCGUCUAUAGUGAUAGCUCUGUUUGUCUUCUCUAUCUGUAUACAAAUUUCAUGUUAGCAGAUAGAGAGGGAAAAAUGAUGUCGUAGUAUAUAUGAAGAAAAGUAUAACUGACAAUAUACAAUAAUUAGCUAAUUACUACGAUGAGUUUUUUCCAGCGCUGCAUCGCCUCCUGAACAUAGGAAUUUUGUUAAUUCAGUACGUAUGGAAGGCAAGAGCGUCAGACAUAAAAACUGAUAGUACAUAUGCCUGUUGCUUAACUCAGUUACUAAUAAGAUGAGAUCGAUCAUUGAACUUCUAAACAUAUUAAUUCAUAGGAGCUCUUAUACUCUAUUUACAGCAAACAUAUUUCUGCCUGUCUGAUCUCCAUCACAAGUCUGAUUCCUAUAAUCCAAGGGGAAGUAUUAAAAACACAUGUGCGCAUAUCAGGAAACUAUCAAAGCACAAACAUAUUUCUGCACACCUGAUGUCCAUCACGCCAUGUGACUUGUAUCCCAUUAGAACGAACACAACAACCAACACAACUGAAUAGGUCCUUCCUGGUAGCCUGCAUGAGCGUCAAGGAGCCAGCCUUAACUGUAGGGACAUAUCAAGAAAAUUUGAGGCGUUCAAGCACGUGCUCACUGAAACCAAACCAAAUAUUGCCGGCAUCGGCGAGAUGUCCGUGCAGGGUUCAACUUUAGACUUUGCAGAUUGCAGACCGCCCCAGCUGGUUCCCCCCUCCCUCCAACGUGUAAUCUGGUAAGGAGAAGUGCUGCAAGAUACGACAGAAAAGGCCAAUUUUUCUUGAUAAGAUAUUAUGGAUCAAGCCUGUUUAUUGGGGAUUCUGUUAUAAAUCCAACAACCUGAUAACCGAGGGAUUUAGGAUGGGGGAUUAUUUACCGACGGCGUGGGGCGAUGGUAGAAUAGAUGAACUCCAAUUGGAUUUAGAGUGUGAUUUGCGUGCCACCACCAAUCCAACAUAUUCCUCCACUUGACAGCCUCAACUACCGAUGUCGCCUCCUUACUUCACAUUAUUGUGGAUCCUCAUCGGACGCAUCAAUCAUCCUGUAAUGCAAAACCUUGAAUAUGAUAAGGGGAAGGCAUAGAUGGACUGAAUCACGUUCUCCUUGUUGGGAAUCCAGUACGGAUGGAACCAUGAAGUCUGGGAUGGAAUAAAACACGACAUGGAGAGAUAGAGGAAGAACAUCCUUUUAAAGAGUCGUAUGUAUGGGAUAGUUGGUCAGAAGUCCAUGGCAGUUCAUCCUACAGCUGCGGAUGUGUAACAUGUAAAUACCGGUUUUACCUAUUUCCAUCUUGACCUUUGGUGACAACUUCUGCUUGGUUGUGGAACCUACACUUGACAGUUGUGACAAUAUCACAAUAUGUAAAUUUUGAAUACUGGGAUAGAGGAAUGAUUCAACAUGUCUAAGAAAAUACUACUAAUGAGUCAUACUGCAGAUUAGCCAAACUCUUGUGUCAGGCUCAGACACAUCUUUUUUAGAUCGGGAAACAAAAUACUGAUAUACUGUGCGAAAACAACUAUUUUUCAGGAAUCUAGCUUCAUGUAAGCAUGCAGAGUUGAUUUUUUACUUCCAAUUGAACAAUUACAGAAAAAAUCAAUCCUCUCAACUUCAAGGUAGGUGAUGCAAGAAAUGGAAAUGGCAAUGGCAAUGCACAAUUUAAUGUUGAUAAAAUCUGGAAUAGUUAACACAGUUUGCAAUGCAGACUACCCUCAUUGACUCUGGUGCAACUCCUGCAGUGAUAACCAGAAGUCUUAAUAAAAUUAAGUUGAAAAGUGGACAGAACACACAUUAUGAGUGAACCAUGAACAAUACUUGAUGCUAGAAAAUCUUGUAUUGAUGUGCUCAAGGUAAUUAUAUGCUAUGUCUUCCACCGAAGAAUGAAGUAUUCGCUAGCUAGUUGUGCAUGGUAAGCUUCUUCUUGAAAAGAAUUACUCAAU
Molecule: long non-coding RNA, 1993 nt
Filed under: Triticum aestivum (bread wheat)
Lineage: Eukaryota; Viridiplantae; Streptophyta; Magnoliopsida; Poales; Poaceae
Description: long non-coding RNA (TAES_LNC013347)
Source: RNAcentral